GAGGCAGCCGUGGGGUAUUCUUACGGGAGGCAGCAAUGGGGAAUGUUGCACAAUGGGGGAAACCCUGAUGCAGCGACGCCGCGUGAGCGAUGAAGUAUUUCGGUAUGUAAAGCUCUAUCAGCAGGAAGAAAAUGACGGUACCUGACUAAGAAGCCCCGGCUAAAUACGUGCCAGCAGCCGCGGUAAUACGUAGGGGGCAAGCGUUAU
RNAcentral lists this ribosomal RNA (207 nucleotides) under uncultured bacterium. RNAcentral's name for it is "partial 16S ribosomal RNA". It matches the Rfam family "Bacterial small subunit ribosomal RNA", at positions 321 to 544 of the family's 1533-position model. The record is from RNAcentral.